RNAcentral lists this ribosomal RNA (493 nucleotides) under uncultured bacterium. Its description in RNAcentral is "bacterial SSU rRNA". It matches the Rfam family "Bacterial small subunit ribosomal RNA", at positions 21 to 507 of the family's 1533-position model. The record is from RNAcentral.
GGCUCAGAUUGAACGCUGGCGGCAUGCCUUACACAUGCAAGUCGAACGGCAGCACGGGUGCUUGCACCUGGUGGCGAGUGGCGAACGGGUGAGUAAUACAUCGGAACGUACCUUAUCGUGGGGGGAUAACGCAGCGAAAGCUGUGCUAAUACCGCAUACGCCCUGAGGGGGAAAGCGGGGGAUCGAAAGACCUCGCGCGAUUAGAGCGGCCGAUGCCUGAUUAGCUUGUUGGUGGGGUAAAAGCCCACCAAGGCGACGAUCAGUAGCUGGUCUGAGAGGACGAUCAGCCACACUGGGACUGAGACACGGCCCAGACUCCUACGGGAGGCAGCAGUGGGGAAUUUUGGACAAUGGGGGAAACCCUGAUCCAGCAAUGCCGCGUGAGUGAAGAAGGCCUUCGGGUUGUAAAGCUCUUUUGUCAGGGAAGAAACACCGGCUCUAACACAGUCCGGGAAUGACGGUACCUGAAGAAUAAGCACCGGCUAACUACGUG